GAAAAUUAGUUUUCUGAGGAUUAAUUUCUUCUGUAUAUAUUUUAUGAGGGGCAUAUAGAAACAAAGAUUCCCUAUUUUUCUCCUCAGUGAUGAAACAAAACAAAAGUACACAACCUAAUAUACCUACAGUAGACUUCCGAUUAUCCGGACUAAUUGGGGAAUUUGGUUGUCCGGAUAAGCAAAAAUCCGGAUAAUGCGGAUUCAUGUUUUUUUGAUUGAAUUUCGGUAAAAAAUGACUGUUUUUUUAAUGAUGAUGGGAAAUUUUUGCAAUUUUUAAUAAGAAGUGCAAGGAAUAAAUUGUAUUUCUUCAAAAAAUAGAGAAAAACAAAUUAAAAACAAAGAUUACAAAUUUUUUUUACUAUGUAUUUGUAAGUAAUUCGCAUAUGCUUGUCCGGAUAAUACGGAUUUUGUCCGGAUAAUCGAGUAGUCCGGAUAAUAGGGGGAAUUUUUUUUCGUCCGGAUAAUACGGCUGUCCGGAUAAGCGGAAGUCUACUGUAUUUUCAAAAACUACAUUCUUUUAUACCAUUCUUUCUGCUAUUUUUUGACAUAAUUACUCAAGUGAUUAAUACAUUUUGUCACAUCUUGACAUAAGUUUUAAUAUGUACCUCCUCCUACAAAUUAGUGUACAACCUGUGAGGCACACAAUUUUUAAUAUUGCCAUUUAUUCCGUGCUAUGUCAAGAAUAGUCCCUCAGUAGUGUAAUAGGCAGAGCUGCAGACCUGUGUUAACAAGUUAGGUACCUGGUUUGGAACUAGCUACAGAGGCAAGCUUGAUAGAGUAAUUCCAAAAAAUUUGUAUGUGCAUAUGUAUGCAGGCUUGUAGGUCUGCUCAGGUUUUGUGGUUGCUCCAAAAUCAAGGUCUUUGUUUGGACCUAUCAAACGGCCUGGUCUGGUCAUUCUGUACUACAUUUUUUGUCUUUGUAGGUCAGUUCGGUCUUGUCCUAACCAGAAAUUUUAAUCCUGGUCAUGAGUCAGCCCAGGUCCAAAAAACCAUCUUCAUUUUUCAGAAAGAAAAAAACUUCCUAACACAUUACAUGAGUUGAAAAAUGGGAUUUUUGCUCUCAAAACAUUGAAACUUCGAAAGAAAUUGAAUUAUAAUGGCAAUUUAUUCGAAUUAGGCAUCUAAAAUGACAUUAUAAAUUUGAAAAAUUGGACAUAUGGAUGUAACUGAAGUCCAAACCACAGUCAUUGGUCCAUUUUUUUAGAAAGGUCUUUGGUCUCAGUCUGUCCCUAAUAUUUUUUCUGAAGAGUCAUCCGUUCACUUAAUAUCGUACAUAAAUUUGUUUUAGAGGACUGAGGUCCAGUCCACUCAGUCUUGUGAGCAUUUUUGGGCCUGGUCGCAUUCAUUGGUCUGGUUUUUAAAAUCUUGGUGGGCCACGACAUACUAUUUGGGCAGAUGAGGUAAAAACUGGGCCACUUAAAAAAUUUCUGAAUGAGUUUUUAUGCUCAGUGUCCUGCACUUUAAAAAAUGGGAGAACAAAAUUUGGCUGAUUAAUUGAGGAGCCCAAAAUCAGGGACGCUGAAAUGGAAUAUCUCAGUGGGCCAUGUGGUCUUGGGCCAGGCCUUGCAUGUCAGGGAUGCUGAUGAUAUUAAAUUUCACAAUAGUUGAAUUGAUUGAUUAGUGUUAUCAUGAUAGUAACAACAUGUGAUGUUUUGUGCAAGGAAUUGCCAAAGUAAAUCCAAAAAAUUAUACACUGCGCAUGUCACUCAAAACUUCCAAAACACAACAACCUCCCUCCAGCUUUGUGAAUUUCUUGUUGCAUAGUAGCAAUCCUUGCAGAAAAGAUUGCUAGUUGUUGGUAUUGUGAUAUCAUAUCAUGGUAGGUAAUUGUGAUAAUUUUAAAAAAUUAAUCAAUAAAUUAUUGAUGAUUUAAAUCCAUGUUUUUGGGUCAACUGAUGAAUUUCACAAUCAAGGUCUUCGUUUUGGAGCUUUCAAAUGGUUUAGUCCAGUCAUUCUGUUGGAAUUUUUUGGUCCUUGUGGAUUGGUCUGGUCUGGUCUGGUCCUGACCAUAAAUUUUUCAUCUUUGUCAUGGGUCAGCUCAGGUCCAAAAAACUGUUUUCAUUUUUCAGAAAGAAAAAAUCCAACACACUGGAUGAGUUGAAAAAUGGGAUUUUUGAUUUCAGAAUAUCUAUUAAAACUUCAAAACAAAUUGAAUCAUAGUGGAAAUUUAUCAAAAUAGUCAUCUAAAUUGGCAUUAAAAAUUUGAAAAAUUGGAUGUAGCCUAACUGGGAUCCAAACUGUGGUCAUUGGUCUGAUUUUUUAGAAAAGUCUUUGGUCCAGGUCUGUUUCUGAUAUUUUUUCUGAAGAGGGUCAUCCGUUUGGUUAAUAUUGAUGUAAAUCUGUUCCAGAGGGGUCAGGUCUGGUAUGGUCCACUGAGUCUUGUGAGCAUUUUUGGGUCUGGUCAUGGUCAUUGGCCCAGUUUUAUGGUCCAAUCCAACAAGCCUGGCAAUUGAAAAAUUUCCAUCAAAUUUCAAACUUUGGUUUUCACUGCAAAAUACUUCAUUGGAUGGAACUAAAAUGGGACACUCAUGAUUAAACGUUCAAAAGCACAACUUCAUAAACGCUGGAGAACUUUGGUAUCGGUCUCAAAUGAAAGCCAAAGGAUGCAUCUUUACCUCCUCCAAUAAGCUCAUUAAUUUUGGAUGAAACCACGCGCAGUCCUUAAUAGGGAACCUCAUCUUUUAUACACCCCUUGUAUUUGUAAGUAAAGUUAAAUGUUGGAAUUUUUUUUUCAAUUUUGUUUUUUGCUUUUGUUUAGGUCAUUGGUAAUUUAGAGGAACUUGUCUGAUGAUGCAAGUUCAGUUUAUUAUCUCAUCAGGAUUUGUGUUGACCUGCUUUGUGUGGCAGAGUUACUCCAAUGUUGAGUUCUACUCUUCUACUGUAGAAGUUUCAAAAGCCCUUGAGAUGCACAACUACUUACCUAUCAUGUUGAUCAACUUGGAUGACAUUGUGUGGUUGAUCUUGUUCCCAGUCAGUGUUUCUUUUCAUCAUCAAGUUAUGUGUAACGUGUAAAAUUUGGAACCGUUUCACGUUGAACUCAUUUGGCAAAUUCUAGGUGAUGAAAUUGAUUUUAAUUUGGUGAUCCGGAUUUAGCUGUAGGUAUGCCAUCUCAUUACAGGAUAUUGUUGGAUUUUCACUAAUGCUGCUUGUAAAAAACGAAAUGGACCUAGGUAUAUAAAAAAUUGUUGAAAAUAGAAGGUGAUCAUAAAAAAAAUUAACAUGUAUUGUAAAUUAAUAUGACCUUGUAAUUUUAUUCAAAUACACAUUAUUGUAAGUAUACAUUUAUUCGUCCUAAAAUUCAAACUUAGCGCGGAGUAAUUCACAUCAGAUGCAGAAGAACUAAUCAAAAUAACACAGGUAAGUGAAUGGCAAAUAUCAAAGUUCAAUCACACAAAGUCUUGGUUCUGCCAAAAAGCUCAAAGUUUCCAAGAUAACAAAGCUUUUUAUAAAAAAGUUGAAUUUACAGGUACAAAAAAGCUGGAUCGAAUAAUAUAAAUGAGCUUUUCGUGAUCAGUGAUGCAUUAUUAGUAGGUAUUAUUA
This is a long non-coding RNA of Planococcus citri (citrus mealybug), 3540 nucleotides long. RefSeq lists it as uncharacterized. The transcript has 4 exons. NCBI's taxonomy places the organism in Eukaryota, Metazoa, Arthropoda, Insecta, Hemiptera, Pseudococcidae. The record is from RefSeq and is a predicted model, not a curated record.